CGUAGGACCCAAGCGUUGUCCGGAUUCACUGGGUAUAAAGGGUGCGUAGGCGGUCUUGUGCGUCAGAGGUGAAAUAUCCGGGCUUAACCCGGAGGGUGCCUUUGAUACGGCAGGACUUGAGUGCGAGAGAGGAUGAUGGAAUUCCUGGUGUAGCGGUGAAAUGCGUAGACAUCAGGAGGAACACCGGUGGCGAAGGCGGUCAUCUGGCUCGUAACUGACGCUGAGGCGCGAAAGCGCGGGGAUCAAACAGGAUUAGAUACCCUGGUAGUCCGCGCCCUAAACGAUGUAUGCUUGGUGUUGGUUCCGCAAGGAAUCAGUGCCGUAGGGAAUCUGAUAAGCAUACCACCUGGGGAGUACGACCGCAAGGUUG
RNAcentral lists this ribosomal RNA (370 nucleotides) under uncultured organism. RNAcentral's name for it is "bacterial SSU rRNA". It matches the Rfam family "Bacterial small subunit ribosomal RNA", at positions 526 to 896 of the family's 1533-position model. The record is from RNAcentral.